RNAcentral lists this ribosomal RNA (253 nucleotides) under uncultured bacterium. RNAcentral's name for it is "partial 16S ribosomal RNA". It matches the Rfam family "Bacterial small subunit ribosomal RNA", at positions 524 to 776 of the family's 1533-position model. The record is from RNAcentral.
UACGGGGGGGGCAAGCGUUGUUCGGAAUUACUGGGCGUAAAGGGCUCGUAGGCGGCCAACUAAGUCAGACGUGAUAUCCCUCGGCUUAACCGGGGAACUGCAUCUGAUACUGGAUGGCUUGAGAUUGGGAGAGGGAUGCGGAAUUCCAGGUGUAGCGGUGAAAUGCGUAGAUAUCUGGAGGAACACCGGUGGCGAAGGCGGCAUCCUGGACCAACACUGACGCUGAGGAGCGAAAGCCAGGGGAGCAAACGGG